UGCGUAGGCGGUGCGGAAAGUUGGGUGUGAAAUCCCUCGGCUCAACCGAGGAAUUGCGCUCAAAACUACCGUGCUCGAGGGAGAUAGGGGUGAGCGGAACUUGGGGUGGAGCGGUGAAAUGCAUUGAUAUCCCAAGGAACGCCAGUGGCGAAAGCGGCUCACUGGAUCUCUUCUGACGCUGAGGCACGAAAGCUAGGGUAGCGAACG
This 207-nucleotide ribosomal RNA is filed under the name uncultured bacterium. RNAcentral's name for it is "partial 16S ribosomal RNA". It matches the Rfam family "Bacterial small subunit ribosomal RNA", at positions 568 to 774 of the family's 1533-position model. The record is from RNAcentral.